This 494-nucleotide small RNA is filed under the name Pan troglodytes (chimpanzee). Its description in RNAcentral is "retained intron". Lineage: Eukaryota; Metazoa; Chordata; Mammalia; Primates; Hominidae. The record is from RNAcentral.
GCGAGGUAGGCAGACUCCUGGGGAAGCGUCUGCCGAUGGCUUUGUGUCCGGGACACACCCUAGAACUGCUUUCUUUUCAGAUGCCCCAUGGUGUGGUCACUGCAAACAGUUGGCUCCCAUUUGGGAUAAACUGGGAGAGACGUACAAGGACCAUGAGAACAUCGUCAUCGCCAAGAUGGACUCGACUGCUAACGAGGUGGAGGCCGUCAAAGUGCACAGCUUCCCCACACUCAAGUUCUUUCCUGCCAGUGCUGACAGGACGGUCAUCGAUUACAACGGGGAACGCACGCUGGAUGGUUUUAAGAAGUUCCUGGAGAGCGGUGGCCAGGAUGGGGCAGGGGAUGAUGAUGAUCUCGAGGACCUGGAAGAAGCAGAGGAGCCAGACAUGGAGGAAGAUGAUGAUCAGAAAGCUGUGAAAGACGAACUGUAAUACGCAAAAGCCAGACCCGGGCGCCGCCGAGACCCCUCGGGGGCUGCACACCCAGCAGCAGCGC